UGGGGGAUAUUGCACAAUGGGCGAAAGCCUGAUGCAGCGACGCCGCGUGAGGGAAGACGGUUUUCGGAUUGUAAACCUCUGUCGAGGGGGACGAAGGAAGUGACGGUACCCCUUGAGGAAGCCACGGCUAACUACGUGCCAGCAGCCGCGGUAAUACGUAGGUGGCAAGCGUUGUCCGGAAUUACUGGGUGUAAAGGGAGCGUAGGCGGGGAUGCAAGUUGAAUGUAUAAACGGCCGGCUCAACCGGCCGAAGCGUUCAAAACUGCAUUUCUUGAGUGGAGUAGAGGCAGGCGGAAUUCCUAGUGUAGCGGUGAAAUGCGUAGAUAUUAGGAGGAACACCAGUGGCGAAGGCGGCCUGCUGGGCUCUAACUGACGCUGAGGCUCGAAAGCGUGGGUAGCAAACAGGAUUAGAUACCC
RNAcentral lists this ribosomal RNA (417 nucleotides) under uncultured bacterium. RNAcentral's name for it is "bacterial SSU rRNA". It matches the Rfam family "Bacterial small subunit ribosomal RNA", at positions 355 to 787 of the family's 1533-position model. The record is from RNAcentral.